AAGUCGUAACAAGGUUUCCGUAGGUGAACCUGCGGAAGGAUCAUUAUCGUGGGGCUCCGGCCCCGUCGAGAUAUCACCCUUGCCUUUUUUCGAGCACCGUUCCGUUUCCUCGGCAGGCCCGCCUGCCAACGGGGACCCCAACCAAAACCCUUUUGCGUACCUGCAACCGUCUGAGAAACAAUGCAAAACAAUCAAAACUUUCAACAAUGGAUCUCUUGGUUCUG
This 224-nucleotide unclassified non-coding RNA is filed under the name air metagenome. RNAcentral describes it as "partial contains small subunit ribosomal RNA, internal transcribed spacer 1, and 5.8S ribosomal RNA". The stretch from base 1 to 46 matches the Rfam family "Eukaryotic small subunit ribosomal RNA", at positions 1786 to 1831 of the family's 1831-position model. The record is from RNAcentral.